AAGAGAGGAAAACCAGAUUAAAGCAACAGUUUUUGAAUGGCUCCACCAAUUUCUAACUCUACCCAUCACCACUAUUCCUUUGCUUCUUCUUCUUAGCUUCCCUUCUUAAAAUAGCAGCUUGAAUGAAGAAAAAAUAAAAACAUUGGCAUUGC
Long non-coding RNA from Hibiscus syriacus, 152 nucleotides. RefSeq lists it as uncharacterized. The record is from RefSeq and is a predicted model, not a curated record. Lineage: Eukaryota; Viridiplantae; Streptophyta; Magnoliopsida; Malvales; Malvaceae. The transcript is spliced from 3 exons.